This 450-nucleotide ribosomal RNA is filed under the name uncultured bacterium. Its description in RNAcentral is "bacterial SSU rRNA". It matches the Rfam family "Bacterial small subunit ribosomal RNA", at positions 354 to 796 of the family's 1533-position model. The record is from RNAcentral.
GUAGGGAAUAUUGGACAAUGGGCGAAAGCCUGAUCCAGCCAUGCCGCGUGUGUGAAGAAGGUCUUCGGAUUGUAAAGCACUUUAAGUUGGGAGGAAGGGCAGUAAGUUAAUACCUUGCUGUUUUGACGUUACCGACAGAAUAAGCACCGGCUAACUUCGUGCCAGCAGCCGCGGUAAUACGAAGGGUGCAAGCGUUAAUCGGAAUUACUGGGCGUAAAGCGCGCGUAGGUGGUUCAGUAAGUUGGAGGUGAAAUCCCCGGGCUCAACCUGGGAACUGCCUCCAAAACUGCAUUACUAGAGUACGGUAGAGGGUAGUGGAAUUUCCUGUGUAGCGGUGAAAUGCGUAGAUAUAGGAAGGAACACCAGUGGCGAAGGCGACUACCUGGACUGAUACUGACACUGAGGUGCGAAAGCGUGGGGAGCAAACAGGAUUAGAUACCCCGGUAGUCC